GAUGAACGCUGGCGGCGUGCCUAAUACAUGCAAGUCGAGCGAACAGACGAGGAGCUUGCUCCUCUGACGUUAGCGGCGGACGGGUGAGUAACACGUGGAUAACCUACCUAUAAGACUGGGAUAACUUCGGGAAACCGGAGCUAAUACCGGAUAAUAUAUUGAACCGCAUGGUUCAAUAGUGAAAGACGGUUUUGCUGUCACUUAUAGAUGGAUCCGCGCCGCAUUAGCUAGUUGGUAAGGUAACGGCUUACCAAGGCAACGAUGCGUAGCCGACCUGAGAGGGUGAUCGCCCACACGGGACCUGAGACCCGGCCCAGCCCCUAACGGGAGGCAGCGGUGGGAAAUCUUCCGCAUUGGGCGAAAGCCUGACGGAGCAACGCCGCGUGAGUGAUGAAGUUCUUCGGUUCGUAAACCUCUGUUAUUGGGGAAGAACAAAUGUGUAAGUAACGUUGCACGUCUUACCGGUACCUAUUCAGAAGACCCCGGCUAACUCCGU
RNAcentral lists this ribosomal RNA (496 nucleotides) under uncultured bacterium. RNAcentral's name for it is "partial 16S ribosomal RNA". It matches the Rfam family "Bacterial small subunit ribosomal RNA", at positions 28 to 506 of the family's 1533-position model. The record is from RNAcentral.